AUUAGAAUUGUUCUGCUUGACCCAAGAAGAGACAACUGGGAACAAUGGAUAGAAACUCUCCAGAGGUACUCUGGAAUGUCCUUAAGGUUGCUUGUUGAACCAGAGAUUCCUUGUUGGAGAUGCUCAAUCUUGUGAAAUACACACACACAGAAAACAGCCCUGGAGGAAGAUCCAAGCUGGACAAGAAAGAUCUGAGCAAUGCAAUUAGAAUAACUGAUAUUGACUAAAACCAGAAGACCCCAUGGUUGGAGACCACAGAAACAUCCAGAUUUCUUUUUUAAAACCAUUAGUGUUCCAUGAAGAAUAUGAGUUUCUCAAUGAGGAAAAGCCUCCUGUGAAGUUGAAGUCCACUUGGUUGUGUUUCUGAAACAGAGUCUUAAGGGGCAGCAAGAAGAAUGGGAGGAGUGAGCCCUUUCCUCCAAAGCCUAAUUUUGCCAGAAAAAAAAAAAAAAAGGAAGUAUUGGGUUUGAUUGAAGACAGUCUCUGUUCUUUCUCUGGCCCGAUGCAGCAUAGUGGAAAGGAGCUGGUAACCAAAA
Molecule: long non-coding RNA, 536 nt
Organism: Gracilinanus agilis (Agile Gracile Mouse Opossum)
Lineage: Eukaryota; Metazoa; Chordata; Mammalia; Didelphimorphia; Didelphidae
Exons: 4
Source: RefSeq, a predicted model, not a curated record